UCGGGCACGUCCUCCUCCCCGCCCACUCCGCCUCGCUCUCGGACACGCCCCUUUUAACCCACGUGGGCGCUGUUCCGGCAGUCGGUAGUCUCGGGGCGGAAGAACCCUCCUCGCCAAGCGGAGACCCCAGAACCUCCCCAGUGCUGGCUUUUCCGCCCCGUCCCGCUCGUCUGACCUCGGGCCAUAAUCCUAACUGGCCUUUAUGGGACACCAAAUGGGCCAUCUCCAGUCAUUCUGAACUGUAUCUGGCCACUUGACCCCGCUGGCUCUGGAGAGGAAAAGUGAGGCUGGUGACCUUGAACAACCCUCCCUCCCUGAAAUCCAUUGUAUAAUCCAUUGUAUCAUCUCCCUGAUGUUAUAAUCUUCUUCGAGAAUAAAGGACAAAUAACUAAUUCAGCAGAGUGAAAUUCCAGGAUAAUGUACGUGAUUCUGUACUAGGGUAAUUUAUUCAUCCCAGCUCAAAUAUCAAUCAACUUUGGAGAAGUUCCUAGUGAGAAUAUUGAAAAGCACUUCUUGAAAACAUCACUGUGUGUGAAUGUGGUUCAGAUUCUCACACACAAACACACAUACCCCAAAAAACAAUUUGAAGCAGCCCUAAGGUUAUAAGCUAGUCUUCACCCACCUACUCCCCAUUUUUUUUUUAAAGCUGUGGACACUCUUGUUGGGAAAGGAGCAAUCAAGCUGUAAUUCAUCAGCAAUGUAUUAGCCCAAGCAACCUAGUAGAAAAGUAGCAGAUGAAACUUGGCUACAAAAGCACCUAACAGAAGACAUCAGUAUGCCAUAGCUCUGGAGAAAGCAACCUAAUAAAUGGCAUCAUCAAAACUGCUGGAAUACAAUGAUAGCUUUGGAGGUGAGGAGGUGGUGUAGCACUUGGGAUGCACCCCUGGAAACUUGAUUUGUCUGAGCUUUGUGUGUUCCUAUGUAGGAGUCUGUGAGCCUGUGUGUGUGUGUGUGUGUGUGUGUGUGUGUGUGUGAGAAAGAGAGAGAGAGAGAGAAUAGUGAUAGGAAAGGAGGGAUCCUUUAGUUACCUUACUAUUCUGUCUAGUUAAAUGCUUUUUGUGUUAAAUGUUUUUGUGUCAGUGUUUUCUCUGAUAAAGAGAAAAAAAGAAAAAUAUUGGCUAGGAGCUUGUGUUGUUGAUGUAAAUGACUUUCAGUGUUUCAAAUCUUCAACUCACAUUCAGAACACUUAAUAUAAAAGUAGUUUUGAAAAAUGAGAGCAUAAAAAGUUUUUCAUUAUUUUCUGUGUAGAGAUUAUACUCCAUUCCACUAGUCUUCAGGAAAACUGGUAAAAAUAAAUAAAUAAAUAAAAGUUUUAGAAGGGAUUUAAAACAUAAGCAGGACAAAGAGUAGUUUCUAGAAAAUUGAAGUAGAUUUUUUUUUUAAAAAAGCACAUUUUAUUGAUUACUUUUGUUUUUACAUCACAAUCAUUUCCCACACACUCUCUGCAGACUGAACUCUUCCUUGUGAAAAAGAAAAAAAAUACAACCAUCUAAUAUUGAGAUUGUAUUUGACAAUGCACAGUAAUCCAAAUGUUGUCCCCAUAAUCCUGCUGUCAGCUCAACCUGGAAAACUAAACUGUGGGAUUGAGAAAAGCAGGAAAUACAGGAAGAUUUGAAGGAAAACCUGGUACUCAGCUGGGAACUAAAUUGCAGACUCCUAGAAUUUGCAGUAGGAGAGACAACACAGAACUUCAUGAAGAAGAACCCUCAGUCACUUGGUAGUAGGUACUAGGAUUUUAAGUCAAUUGAACUCAAAGAGCAUUUAAUUGUCUACUUUUUGUCUAAAGGACUCUAUUAGAUGCAGGGGAUACAAAGACAAAAAAAAUAAAAUUUACCCUUAAGGAUCUUAACAAACCACUGAUAUAUAGGGAGACUUUCAAAGAGAUAAGUACAUAUAAUUUGCAGGAGGAAAAAGACAUUAACAACUGAGGGGAAAAGUCUUAUGUAGAAGCUGGCCUUGAAGAAAAUUAGUGAUUGAGGCAAAGGUGAGGUGGGAUAACAUCCAAAUAUGAGGAACAUCAUUUUAUGCAAAGUUAUGUUGAGCUCUGAAACAGCACACAGACCAGUUUUGGCUGGAACAGAUUAAUGUGAAGGAGAAUAAUAUACAAUCAGUCUAAAAAAGUUGGCUGGAGUCAGAGUGUUAGGGGUUUUAAAUGCCAAAUGGGAAAAUUUGUAGAUUUUCCCUAUAUUUUCCUAAAAACAAUAUGCAGAGAAAUGAUAUGGUGAGACCCAUGCUUCAGAAAUAACACUUUGGCAGCUGUGGUGAUGGA
Long non-coding RNA from Sarcophilus harrisii (Tasmanian devil), 2269 nucleotides. RefSeq lists it as uncharacterized. NCBI's taxonomy places the organism in Eukaryota, Metazoa, Chordata, Mammalia, Dasyuromorphia, Dasyuridae. The transcript is spliced from 2 exons. The record is from RefSeq and is a predicted model, not a curated record.